Acipenser ruthenus (sterlet) is the source of this 1013-nucleotide long non-coding RNA. RefSeq lists it as uncharacterized. The record is from RefSeq and is a predicted model, not a curated record. The transcript is spliced from 3 exons. Lineage: Eukaryota; Metazoa; Chordata; Actinopteri; Acipenseriformes; Acipenseridae.
UCCUGUUAAUUUGUAUUGAACGAGUUACACAUGAAGCCCGUCAAUCUUGGUAAUAUCUUGGUAGUUUUGACCAAUCAUAGCCCGUGUCGCUACCACCAGGAAAGUGCCAAUCACAUUUCGCAGACCUACCAAGAAUCAAGUGACAGAAUUAUCCAAUCAGAUCUCGUAGAACUACCAAGAAUACUGAGCGUUUUCAACGGUGGGAGAUUAUUGAAUCUUGAAGUCUUUUGGUUUAUUUCCAAAUACAAUCAUCUGAAGUAAUAUUUACUGCGACGAAAAGCCUUAGGAAGAUCCACCGGCUGAAAGAUAUAAAACAGUCGAUGGCGUACCCUGUACCACUCCUUUUCAUCCACGUUGACAGCAAACAUCCAGACUGAAGUCAGAGGCGAGUGAGGAAGCACAAGAACCGUCCUCGGCACCACUGGGGGCAAUUGACGACGGCGAUACUUACAGGUUCCAGAGUCCAGGAGAGAGCAGUGGUGAUGCGGGUUCCAUCCGGGCUGGGGAGACAAAGAGGUGGAGACACGGAAGGGUGCAAGUCCAGCUAAAGGGAAGUAACCAGCUUUGCUGGAUUUAGGAGGAAUUGUGAACUUGCUUAUCUGUAUUUCCUCUUUCCUGAAAGCUACUUUUGACCCUUUCCAGGUUUUCUGGGAUCUCCCCUCUGUAGAAUCUGCGGCGGAUUGGAGGACGGUUCCUGCGGGUGUAGAGCUUCCUGGAGGAUGACGAUCUGAGGCAGGGACGGUGGGGGGAGUGUAACACCCCCCCUUUUUUUGGACUCAUCAAUCUUUUCCAAUUAGUUUGCAGGAUUCUGGACUACUAACUACGAACUGCAUUAUUAUUGCACUUUGUCUCCUUUGUUGGACUUGCUGUGAUUAGUAAUUGAGUGUUUUUACCCGGGGAGGGUAGCUCCAAGUAGUAUUUCUAGACUUUGUAUUUUGUUGUUUUAGUGGGAGCUUCCUUGUGUGUGUAUUUUUAAAGUGAACCUAACCCUGUGGAGAAUUAAUAAAGUUUGU